RNAcentral lists this ribosomal RNA (808 nucleotides) under uncultured fungus. RNAcentral describes it as "eukaryotic LSU rRNA". It matches the Rfam family "Eukaryotic large subunit ribosomal RNA", at positions 24 to 664 of the family's 3401-position model. The record is from RNAcentral. Lineage: Eukaryota; Fungi.
CCCGCUGAACUUAAGCAUAUCAGUAAGCGGAGGAAAAGAAAACAACUGUGAUUCCCUAAGUAGCUGCGAGCGAAACGGGAAGAGCUCAAAACCGAAUCUGUCGAGUUUAAUUAUUCGGCCGAAAUGUGGUUUGCGGACAAAUCCUUGUCGUCGAUGUCGGUUAAAGUCUUGUUGGAACACAGCGCCAUAGAGGGUGAUAGCCCCGUUAAUCCGAUCGUCGGCGGCAAUCAAGGGUUUGAUUCCUAGAGUCGCACUGUUUGAGAGUACAGUGCUAAGUGGCAGGUGAGUACCUGUUAAAGCUAAAUAUUAGUUGGAGUCCGAUAGCAAACAAGUACCGUGAGGGAAAGUUGCAAAGAACUUUGAAAAGAGAGUUAAAAGAACCUGAAAUCGGUAACGGGGAAGGGCUCGGGCAACUCGCGGCCUCUGUAAGUUCUUUUUCCGAUUUCUGCCCGGAAUUUUCGAUUGAGUAACAUCUUUGUUAUCUGUCGGAUUUCGAGGGUGGGGAUCGGAGGAUUUAUUUUUGCAUGCCAGGCAAAUCCGUUUGUUGCCGACCGAACGGGGUCUCGGAAGGGUGUCUUCGGAGCGGGAAACUGUUCUGAAGUCCGAAGUCCGAGAUUUUCCGGUUGGCGACGAACGAUAAAAUUUUGUCGGCGCCUUUUUGGCUGGACUCCCGCAAAGUCGGUAGGCGGUGCAUCGAGGAUACAAGUUUCUUGUUUCCCCGGUGAAACGUUUACCUUACCGAACGGGGCCAUGUACGACAAUUUUUUGCCUUAGCCGAGGGACCCGAGCCUCCCGUCUUGAAACACGG